Molecule: long non-coding RNA, 559 nt
Organism: Camelus dromedarius (Arabian camel)
Lineage: Eukaryota; Metazoa; Chordata; Mammalia; Artiodactyla; Camelidae
Exons: 3
Source: RefSeq, a predicted model, not a curated record
GGGAUGGGCUUUGGGGCCGCCCCUCUCAGGAUCAAGGGCCCCAGAGAUGCAGAGAGGCCAGUCUGUUGAAGGCCGACCUCUGGGCAGCAGGCUCACGUCUCCCUUCCUGAGCACUGCUGCUACGAAGGUGGGGAGAUCCCACACAUGGCAGAGGAAGUGAACGCCAAGGACUCCCCCACGAGGCUUCCGCGGCUUGCGAGCAUCCAGCCCUCAAGCAUCCCUUCACUCUCCAAGAUGGAGAAUGAAUUUGGCCCUCUGACUUACGAGCAGCCAUCCUGCUUACUCUUUAAAUAAUCCCUUUCACCAUACGAGGAGCUGCGGAAAACACGCGCUGGAGUGCCACCUCCUUAGCGACGGAAUCCUGGCCACUCGCAGGGCUCCAGGCGAAGCGCAGACACAUGCGGACUGGAUGGUUCAAAAACUAAAGACAGACUUGCCUCGGGUGUUAGGAAUUCAACGUGGUUCUUAAGUGUAUUUAUGCUUCUUUGUAUCAUCUGCCUCUCUGAGAUACAGCCUUAUUAUAUGGUUAUACCUCCAUAUUUUAUUUCCAAAUAUUUAC